CUGCCUUAAACUAAUGAGUAAGGAAAACAAAGCGAGCGGUGGGAGCUGCUCGCCGCGCUAACUUGUGUUGCGCAAGAAUUUAUGGAGGGGUUAUAGGCUGACCGAGCGUUGACGCUGCUUACUUUGCAGAACUCGCUUGAGUGGGCCUCCC
Macadamia integrifolia is the source of this 151-nucleotide small nuclear RNA. RefSeq annotates it as U12 minor spliceosomal RNA. The record is from RefSeq and is a predicted model, not a curated record. Lineage: Eukaryota; Viridiplantae; Streptophyta; Magnoliopsida; Proteales; Proteaceae. The transcript has a single exon.